GAUGAACGCUGGCGGCGUGCCUAAUACAUGCAAGUCGAGCGAACGGACGAGAAGCUUGCUUCUCUGAUGUUAGCGGCGGACGGGUGAGUAACACGUGGAUAACCUACCUAUAAGACUGGGAUAACUUCGGGAAACCGGAGCUAAUACCGGAUAAUAUUUUGAACCGCAUGGUUCAAAAGUGAAAGACGGUCUUGCUGUCACUUAUAGAUGGAUCCGCGCUGCAUUAGCUAGUUGGUAAGGUAACGGCUUACCAAGGCAACGAUGCAUAGCCGACCUGAGAGGGCGAUCGGCCACACUGGAACUGAGACACGGUCCAGACUCCUACGGGAGGCAGCAGUAGGGAAUCUUCCGCGAUGGGCGAAAGCCUGACGGAGCAACGCCGCGUGAGUGAUGAAGGUCUUCGGAUCGUAAAACUCUGUUAUUAGGGAAGAACAUAUGUGUAAGUAACUGUGCACAUCUUGACGGUACCUAAUCAGAAAGCCACGGCUAACUACGUG
This 497-nucleotide ribosomal RNA is filed under the name uncultured bacterium. Its description in RNAcentral is "partial 16S ribosomal RNA". It matches the Rfam family "Bacterial small subunit ribosomal RNA", at positions 28 to 507 of the family's 1533-position model. The record is from RNAcentral.